UACGGGGGGAGCAAGCGUUGUUCGGAUUUACUGGGCGUAAAGGGCGCGUAGGCGGCCACCGCAAGUCGACUGUGAAAUCUCCGGGCUUAACCCGGAAAGGUCAGCCGAUACUGCGGGGCUAGAGUGCAGAAGGGGCAACUGGAAUUCUCGGUGGUAGCGGUGAAAUGCGUAGAUAUCGAGAGGAACACCUGCGGCGAAGGCGGGUUGCUGGGCUGACACUGACGCUGAGGAGCGAAAGCCAGGGGAGCAAACGGG
Molecule: ribosomal RNA, 255 nt
Filed under: uncultured bacterium
Lineage: Bacteria
Description: partial 16S ribosomal RNA
Rfam family: Bacterial small subunit ribosomal RNA
Source: RNAcentral